Molecule: ribosomal RNA, 253 nt
Filed under: uncultured bacterium
Lineage: Bacteria
Description: partial 16S ribosomal RNA
Rfam family: Bacterial small subunit ribosomal RNA
Source: RNAcentral
GACGAACCGGACAAACGUUAUUCGGAAUUAUUGGGCUUAAAGGGUGCGUAGGCGGCGCGGUAAGUGAGGUGUGAAAUCCCUCGGCUCAACCGAGGAAUUGCGCUUCAUACUGCCGUGCUUGAGUGAGAUAGAGGCGAGCGGAACUGAUGGUGGAGCGGUGAAAUGCGUUGAUAUCAUCAGGAACACCAGUGGCGAAAGCGGCUCGCUGGGUCUCUACUGACGCUGAAGUACGAAAGCUAGGGUAGCGAACGGG